UUAUAAUUAUAUACAUAUAUAUAUAUAUAUAGUCAGCUGUUAUUAUUUUUACCAUAAUUCCAUUCUUAUCUGUUUGCUCCAGGAUCAUGGAUUUAGCCAUCAUUUUCUCUCUUGUGCAUCUUCUAUCUCUUCUUCUCUACUAGGCUCUCUCAUCCCUAUCUAUAUAUAUGUGGAAGCUCCCAGUUCCCAAAACAUUUUAUCUAGAGCCUUCCAACCCAGCUCUGACCCAUCUCCCAUUUCCCCUUCACCACCCACACAAUUUGAAAAACUCAUCCAAAACACAAGACCUCCACUUUGUCUGAUCAUUCAUUUGGAUCAUUCAAAAUCAUUCUCUCUUCCAUCCCUUGAGAUUGGCUUCUUUUCCCCUCCACCCCUGUAAUUAAUCCGCUUUCUCAAAUAUUUGAAGGCAGCUAUCACUCAUUACAGAAUUAUAAUGCCACAGAAUGUUAGAAAUGGAAGAGGACCUUAGAAAUCAUCUAACCCAAACUGAUUUGACAGAAGAAAAUGAGGCUUAAAGAGACUCGCCCACCUAGUAAAUGGCUGUGGAGCCAGAAACAGAUCCUGUGCCCUUUCACUGAAUUGCCAUUUUUAUCCUAGAAUGCAUAAAAUCUUCAUAAUGGUAAGGUUGGCCAUGCCUGGGGUUCCUAUGGAAACAACUGUGAUGACAUCUUUCUAGCUUUUGUGUAUGUCCAACAAAAGAGGCUGUAUCAGUGCUUCAUGUUUAAACGUAAAGAGAUUUAGAAGCUGGCCUCCUUACAGGACGACUAAAAAGGAAAAAAAGAGCUAUGACAGGCCUCAAGAACAUUUCAAUCUGAAAACACUAAGUACCACUUUUUUUUGGUGAGAAAGUACUGUUGUGAGACGGAAGAGAGCCAGACAUUUUAUCUAUCUGCAACAAAGGAGGUUCUCUCAGAGGCAAACUUAAGGUUUAUUCCUGAUGUUACCUGGAAAGCUUAAAGAGCGGAAGAAGAAACAGUUUGGGACUUCCAGUGCUGUUUCAAAGGGCUUCCACAACCUCUGGGAUGUCUCCACCAGGAAUUCAAAGACCACAAGUUUAGCAUCAAGUCCACGUCUGCUCUCCAAAUGCAGUCCUGGUUCCAGCAAGAACAAGAGAAUCCUGGGCAGUAUGAAUUAAAGAAGACUAAAGGGAGAUCAACCAGAACAAUUCAAACAAGGAUAAUGACAGAUACAACCACCACCACCUUGAAACAGAAAAAUCAAGAAGUCUGACCAAAGUACUAAACAACCAUGUCACCAAGGGACCUAUGAUAAAGCAUAUUAUUACCUAUAUCACCAAACAGAGAAGUGGUAAUGGAUACAAAGUAUAUUUUUGGACAUGGAUGCUAUGGAUUGGUUUUACUUGACAACAUUCAUUUCUUAUAUUUGUUAAAUGGAAGGGAUAGGGGUAUCAGUAAUGACAACAAAGAGGAAAACAGAAUGAAUUAGGAACUGGAAUCCAAUAAUAUGUUGUUCACAAGAAGCACAUUUGAAAUAGAAAGGCACAGAGUUAAAAAAAUAAAAAAAGGAACCAGAAUCCA
This 1538-nucleotide long non-coding RNA is filed under the name Monodelphis domestica (gray short-tailed opossum). RNAcentral's name for it is "lncRNA (ENSMODG00000030436.2)". The record is from RNAcentral. Lineage: Eukaryota; Metazoa; Chordata; Mammalia; Didelphimorphia; Didelphidae.